Non-coding RNA from Pelobates cultripes (western spadefoot toad), 270 nucleotides. NCBI's taxonomy places the organism in Eukaryota, Metazoa, Chordata, Amphibia, Anura, Pelobatidae. The record is from the annotation of a GenBank genome assembly.
CCAGGAGCCUCUGUGCCUGGGAGUCCAGGCGCGGGAAAAAGGGACCGUCCCUUUAUCUCACAGGCACAGAAAUGCCGCCCGCAGGAAAAGAGCUGGUCUCUCUGUCCCUCGGGCUCAGGAAAGCCCGCCAAACUCACCAGUGCCCCAAAAGUGCCCACACCAAUCUCAGGGACCCACAUGUCGGUCUCUCGAUCUACUAACCUCCGUUCGCAAGGUCCUGGUGUGAAACCCAGACAAGGGCAGCAUCUUCUUCCGGGGUAUGAAUGCUCC